This 1166-nucleotide ribosomal RNA is filed under the name uncultured bacterium. RNAcentral describes it as "bacterial SSU rRNA". It matches the Rfam family "Bacterial small subunit ribosomal RNA", at positions 219 to 1399 of the family's 1533-position model. The record is from RNAcentral.
UUACAGAUGGGCAUGCGUAUCAUUAGCUAGUUGGUAAGGUAACGACUCACCAAGGCAACGAUGAUUAGGGGUUCUGAGAGGAUAUCCCCCCACACUGGAACUGAGACACGGCCCAGACUCCUACGGGAGGCAGCAGUGGGGGAUAUUGCACAAUGGGCGAAAGCCUGAUGCAGCAACGCCGCGUGAGGGAAGAAGGUAUUCGUAUUGUAAACCUCUGUCUUUGGUGAAGAAAAAAAUGACGGUAGCCGAGGAGGAAGCCACGGCUAACUACGUGCCAGCAGCCGCGGUAAUACGUAGGUGGCAAGCGUUGUCCGGAAUUACUGGGUGUAAAGGGUGCGCAGGCGGGAAGGCAAGUUGGAUGUGAAACCUAUGGGCUUAACCCAUAGCCUGCAUCCAAAACUGUUUUUCUUGAGUGGAGUAGAGGCAGGCGGAAUUCCGAGUGUAGCGGUGAAAUGCGUAGAUAUUCGGAGGAACACCAGUGGCGAAGGCGGCCUGCUGGGCUCUAACUGACGCUGAGGCACGAAAGCAUGGGGAGCAAACAGGAUUAGAUACCCUGGUAGUCCAUGCCGUAAACGAUGAUUACAUAGGUGUGGGGGGGUCUGACCCCCUUCCGUGCCCGGAGUUAACACAAUAAGCAAUCCACCUGGGGAGUACGGUCGCAAGACUGAAACUCAAAGGAAUUGACGGGGGCCCGCACAAGCAGUGGAGUAUGUGGUUUAAUUCGAAGCAACGCGAAGAACCUUACCAGGUCUUGACAUCCGACUAACGAAGCAGAGAUGCAUCAGGUGCCCUUCGGGGAAAGUCGAGACAGGUGGUGCAUGGUUGUCGUCAGCUCGUGUCGUGAGAUGUUGGGUUAAGUCCCGCAACGAGCGCAACCCUUGUCAUUAGUUGCUACGCAAGAGCACUCUAAUGAGACUGCCGUUGACAAAACGGAGGAAGGUGGGGACGACGUCAAAUCAUCAUGCCCUUUAUGACCUGGGCUACACACGUACUACAAUGGCCGCUAACAGCGGGAGGCAAGAGCGCGAGCUGGAGCAAAUCCCCAAAAGCGGUCUCAGUUCAGAUUGCAGGCUGCAACCCGCCUGCAUGAAGUCGGAAUUGCUAGUAAUCGCAGGUCAGCAUACUGCGGUGAAUACGUUCCCGGGCCUUGUACACACCGCCCGUCA